AGAGUUUGAUCCUGGCUCAGGACGAACGCUGGCGGCGUGCCUAAUACAUGCAAGUAGAACGCUGAAGGAGGAGCUUGCUUCUCCGGAUGAGUUGCGAACGGGUGAGUAACGCGUAGGUAACCUGCCUGGUAGCGGGGGAUAACUAUUGGAAACGAUAGCUAAUACCGCAUAAGAGUAGAUGUUGCAUGACAUUUGCUUAAAAGGUGCAAUUGCAUCACUACCAGAUGGACCUGCGUUGUAUUAGCUAGUUGGUGGGGUAACGGCUCACCAAGGCGACGAUACAUAGCCGACCUGAGAGGGUGAUCGGCCACACUGGGACUGAGACACGGCCCAGACUCCUACGGGAGGCAGCAGUAGGGAAUCUUCGGCAAUGGACGGAAGUCUGACCGAGCAACGCCGCGUGAGUGAAGAAGGUUUUCGGAUCGUAAAGCUCUGUUGUAAGAGAAGAACGAGUGUGAGAGUGGAAAGUUCACACUGUGACGGUAUCUUACCAGAAAGGGACGGCUAACUACGUGCCAGCAGCCGCGGUAAUACGUAGGUCCCGAGCGUUGUCCGGAUUUAUUGGGCGUAAAGCGAGCGCAGGCGGUUAGAUAAGUCUGAAGUUAAAGGCUGUGGCUUAACCAUAGUACGCUUUGGAAACUGUUUAACUUGAGUGCAAGAGGGGAGAGUGGAAUUCCAUGUGUAGCGGUGAAAUGCGUAGAUAUAUGGAGGAACACCGGUGGCGAAAGCGGCUCUCUGGCUUGUAACUGACGCUGAGGCUCGAAAGCGUGGGGAGCAAACAGGAGUAGAUACCCUGGUAGUCCACGCCGUAAACG
RNAcentral lists this ribosomal RNA (815 nucleotides) under uncultured bacterium. RNAcentral describes it as "bacterial SSU rRNA". It matches the Rfam family "Bacterial small subunit ribosomal RNA", at positions 8 to 808 of the family's 1533-position model. The record is from RNAcentral.